This 446-nucleotide ribosomal RNA is filed under the name uncultured bacterium. RNAcentral describes it as "partial 16S ribosomal RNA". It matches the Rfam family "Bacterial small subunit ribosomal RNA", at positions 338 to 795 of the family's 1533-position model. The record is from RNAcentral.
CCUACGGGAGGCAGCAGUCGAGAAUCAUUCACAAUGGGGGAAACCCUGAUGGUGCGACGCCGCGUGGGGGAAUGAAGGUCUUCGGAUUGUAAACCCCUGUCAUGUGGGAGCAAAUUAAAAAGAUAGUACCACAAGAGGAAGAGACGGCUAACUCUGUGCCAGCAACCGCGGUAAUAAAGAGGUCUCAAGCGUUGUUCGGAAGCACUGGGCGUAAAGCGUGCGUAGGCUGUUUCGUAAGUCGGGUGUGAAAGGCGCGGGCUCAACCCGCGGACGGCACAUGAUACUGCGAGACGAGAGGAAUGGAGGGGGAAGCGGAAUUCUCGGUGUAGCAGUGAAAUGCGUAGAUAUCGAGAGGAACACUCGUGGCGAAGGCGGGUUCCUGGACAUUAACUGACGCUGAGGCACGAAGGCCAGGGGAGCGAAAGGGAUUAGAUACCCUAGUAGUC